GAUGAAGAACGUAGCGAAAUGCGAUAAGUAAUGUGAAUUGCAGAAUUCAGUGAAUCAUCGAAUCUUUGAACGCACCUUGCGCCUUUUGGUAUUCCGAAAGGCACACCUAUUUGAGCGUCAUGAAUACCUCAAUCUCCAUCUUUUCUUCGGAUUGAUGGGUGACUUGGAUGUUGAGCCCUGCUGGUAUGCUAUAUCAGCUGGCUUUAAACUUAUUAGCCGGCUCUGUACUGGAUCGGUUUGACUCGACGUGAUAAUAUUAUCGUUGAGGAUGCAUGUCUCAUGCAGCCGGAAAGUAUCAAAGCAGCUUCUAGCUUGCCUUUAGUGCACUUUUACAUUUUAGACCUCAGAUCAGGUGGGACUACCCGCUGAACUUAAGCAUAUCAAUAAGCGGAGGA
RNAcentral lists this unclassified non-coding RNA (395 nucleotides) under soil metagenome. RNAcentral describes it as "partial contains 5.8S ribosomal RNA, internal transcribed spacer 2, and large subunit ribosomal RNA". The stretch from base 1 to 120 matches the Rfam family "5.8S ribosomal RNA", at positions 35 to 154 of the family's 154-position model. The record is from RNAcentral.